UACGGAGGGUGCAAGCGUUGUUCGGAUUUAUUGGGCGUAAAGCGCGUGUAGGCGGUUUCUUAAGUCUGAUGUGAAAGCCCUGGGCUCAGCCCAGGAAGUGCAUUGGAUACUGGGAGACUUGAAUACGGGAGAGGGUAGUGGAAUUCCUAGUGUAGGAGUGAAAUCCGUAGAUAUUAGGAGGAACACCGGUGGCGAAGGCGGCUACCUGGACCGAUAUUGACGCUGAGACGCGAAAGCGUGGGGAGCAAACAGG
RNAcentral lists this ribosomal RNA (253 nucleotides) under uncultured bacterium. Its description in RNAcentral is "partial 16S ribosomal RNA". It matches the Rfam family "Bacterial small subunit ribosomal RNA", at positions 524 to 776 of the family's 1533-position model. The record is from RNAcentral.